Long non-coding RNA from Artibeus jamaicensis (Jamaican fruit-eating bat), 3498 nucleotides. RefSeq lists it as uncharacterized. Lineage: Eukaryota; Metazoa; Chordata; Mammalia; Chiroptera; Phyllostomidae. The record is from RefSeq and is a predicted model, not a curated record. The transcript is spliced from 4 exons.
GAGACUGAAGAAAGAUGCAGACCACUCCAGGCCGGUAGGUGCCAGGCUUUCUAAGUAAGGGAACUUACAAGGACUGACUUCAGUGGCAGCAAGACUGUUUUCACUCCUUCCUACGAGAAUCUGAAAAGCGUGUACAGGGGUUCAGACACAUUUCAGUCCAAAUGGUCUCAACAGCACCUUACUUUCUCAAGGCUGCAUCCCAGAAAUGGACUCCCACGGUGGAACAGUGGGUAACACACACAUUCCAAGGACAGGAGGAGGUGAGGCACCUCCGAUUGCCCGAGUCCAGAUCCACCGGAAGUCUCAUGCUGUGGAUCACUUCCUUCAGUAACUAGAAGAGGCAGACUCUCAUUAUGGUGAAGAACAGAGAUGCUGAGAAAGUUUCCCUCUCAUGAAGGAACAAGUAUACAAAUGACUUGAAAAAGUCUUAAACAUAAAGAGACAUGUUCCUUGGGACUUUGAAGAAGCAAGUAUGAUGAGUUCUAUGGCUCCCAGAAAAUAAGUUGUGUCAAUGACCACCCGAACUUUUAUGAGGACCCUGGACUUCAGAAAGGAACAUGGAUUGGAGUAUCAUGACCAAAAAGAUGGGGCUGUUAUGGAAGACCCCAGUCUCCAUCCCUGUACAAAGAUCAAAAAUUAGACAACGACCACAAACAAAAAGCUCUGAGAGAGUUCUGGAGUCCACUUAAGAAACUUCAGCAAUACAGUGGAACAAAACAGCUGAGAAUAACUACAAAAAAAAAGAGAAGAAAGAUGGUUUUAUUUUGUCUCCAUCAUUCUAUCCCUCUAGCCAGCAUUUCUCAGUGCCAAGAAGAAAUCCCAAGCUAGAGUUUUUUAAAGUAAGCCAGCCUUUCAAGGCACUGCACAAAAUCCCACUUUGGUUAUAGCCCACUCAGACUGGUAAAGCUGAAACACAGAGACAGUUAUGAAAAUUAAAGUAAAACAGAGGUUAUUAAUAGAUGCUACAUAGCUGAAGCUGUCAGUUUGCAAUGAACUUCUCUGCAGAAAACUCAAUAUAUUUCACCACUGAACAAACCAAUGGCCAGCACAGCUACUGCAUACCUGCUGCCGAUUACACCUGUUAUUAUCCUAUAGAUAUUUGCUUUUUUGACACCAGUCAUUGAGUCUUUUUCUGCCUCGUUCCCCACUCCUCCAUCCUACCUAAGCUUGGGAAAUACACCAACAUCACUGAAGUCUAAGAAGGAGAAAAGAGGAAGAAAGGAGUAGAUUUGCAAAUAUUUUCUCCUAUUCUAUAGGUUGCUGUUCAUUUUGUUGACUUGAUUUGUUUUGUUUUGUUUUGUUUUUGCCUGUGUAGAAGCAUUUUAAUCUGCUAUAGUCUAACUAAUUUUUGCUUUCCUUGCUUGUGCUUUUGGUAUUAUAUCCCAAAGAGCAUUGUCAAUACCAAGGUCAAGGAGCUUUUUCCUAGUUUUCUUAUUGAAGUUUUAAGGUAACAGUUUAUGUUUAACUUUAAUCCAUUUUGAAUUAAUUUUAGUAAGUGGCAUGAGUUAGGGAGCAAUUUGAUUAUUCCACUUGUGGUUGUACAGUUUUCCAACAUAAUUUAUCAAAGGGACUACUGUCCUUUCUACAUUGAGUGUCCUUGAAUCUAUUGUCAAAUACUAAUUAACUUUAUGUGCAAGAGAUUGUGUCUGAGCUCUUGAUUCUGUUUCACUGGCCUAUGAUAGCUUCAUUUUAGGUCAGUGAUAUACGGUUUUGAUUAAUAUACCUUUGUAGUGGAGUUUGAAACAGGAAGCAUGGUCCUUAUAGCAUAUAGGGGUUGAUUUUGAAAAUAUAAAAAUAACUCAUAAAACACAAUAACAAAAUACAAAAUAAAACAAAACAAAAAUCCAAUUUAAAAUGAGCAUAUAAACUGAAUCAUCAUUUUUCCAAAGAAGCUUUACAAAUAGCCAACAAAUACAUAAAAAUGCUGUUCAAAAUCUCUAAUCAUCAGGGAAAUGCAAAUCAAAACCACAAUGACAUAUCUAAGACCUCAUACUUGUUAGAAUAUCAUUUAAAAAGACAGGGAAUAACAAGUAUUGAUAACAAUGUACAGAAAAAUGAAUAUUUGUUUACUAUUGGUAGAAAAGUGAGUUGGUAUAGCUACAAUGGUAAAAAUUUUUGAAGUUCAUCAAAACUUUAUAAAAGAACUACCACAUGAUCUGGCAAUACCUCUACUGGUAGAUAUUAAAAUGACAUGAAAAUAGGAUCUUGAAGAUUAUAUGUGUGUGUGUGUGUGUGCACGCUCUAAUGCACAUCACGGCCUUUUUCACAAUGGCCAGGACAUAGACACAACCUAAGUGUCCAUAACUGGAUAAAGAUGUGGUAGAAACACAGAAUGGAUUAUCACUGAGCCAUGAGAAAGAAAGACAUCCUGCCACUUGAGACAAUAUGGAUCAACACUGAGGGCACUAUGAUUACGGUAAGUGAGGUAAGGCAGAUAGAGAAAGACAAAUACCACACAAUAUCACUUAUAUGUGGAAUGUAAAAAAAUGAGCUGAAUUCAUAGAAACAGAGAAUAAAAUGGUAGUUUUCAGAGGCUAGAGAAUGAAGUGAAUGGAGAGAUGCUGGUCAAAGUUAUAAGGUGAAUAAUUUCUGAAUAUCUAAUGUAAAGAACAGUUGUAUAGUCCAUCACAUACUAGAAAGUUAAGAGAGUAGAUCUUAAAUGUUCUCACUGCAAAAAAUAAAUGCUAAUUACAUAACAUGUGGUAGACAUUAGCUGAGACUAUGGUUUCAAUCAUUUUGCAGUAUGUUAAGUGUAUCAAACCAACAUGUCAUGCAUCCUAAACUUACACAAUAUUACAUAUUGAUUCUAUUCCAGUAACAAAAGAAAAGAAAGAGACAGAGCAUGGCCUCUACCUUAGAUUUUAGAUUUAGGAGACUCUAGAGGUGGACAUGGCUCAACUAUCCCAGACUCCUGAACAUGGAAACAAUGAGAUACCAAAUACGUGUUGUUUAAAACACUAUCAGUGACACUUUGUUAUGUACCAGUAGAAACCCACUAUCACCUGAAUGAAGGUGAAAAGGGCAAAUUAGAUUUUUACAUUGAACAUUUAAUGUGCAGACAAAUCACUUGGGAGGAAUGACCUGUAAGUAUGUAAAAUGAAGAUUUUGAUUAAGGAAAUACUGAGUGGGGUUAUACAUUCUCACCUAAUGUUGAUACUGCUGGUGCACAGAACACACUUGGAGUAGCAAGGACUUAGACUGUACAACAAAUUCAAACCAUACCAUUAAAACAAUUCUGGCUUGUGGUACUCUGUGUAUCUACGAGGGAGUAUUUGUAGCUGAAUAUAAGUCCAAAACAAGCUGUAAAAGCUUUUGUUAAAAUAUAGGGGAAUAAAAGUUUGUAUAUACUAAGUUUGAAAGCAAAAGUGAGGAAUGUAUUGAAGGAGAAUGAUUCUACUGAAAAAAAAAUAGGCAGAGUAAAGCUGUUUCAUUUGAAUGUAAACCUUAAUUCUUUCUAACCAAUCAAACAAUAUUUUCAUCAAAAUAGAAUAAUAUUUU